Molecule: long non-coding RNA, 859 nt
Filed under: Equus caballus (horse)
Lineage: Eukaryota; Metazoa; Chordata; Mammalia; Perissodactyla; Equidae
Description: lncRNA (ENSECAG00000058071.1)
Source: RNAcentral
CAGGCCGUUUAGUGAAACGUGCAGGUGAGGGUUCCGACCUUCCCCGGGGACUCAGGAGGGAGAAGCUGUGGCCAGGAGUGCACCGAAAGUCCUGUCAGAGGAUUAGGAGCCCGGCUGAGCCUCCCAGCCUGGCUGAGACGGGGGAGAGGGUCAGGGAAGGGAGGAAGCCAAGUGCUGUGGCGAGACUCCUCCACGGUGGGGAAGUGGGGCAGGGCUGUGGACCAGCCUUGCUCAGGUGGGGUUUUGCCAGCCUGACUGACGUCGCUCCAGCACACUGUGACAUACCCCUUUUGAGGGGCUACGUAUAGUGGUGCUGGGUCUCUUCCACAUGCCCCUCCAUCGCUUUGCUCCUUGCUUCUCCGCUCUGCUCGGUGCCUCAGGAGGCCACCCUGUGUGGACCACGUCCGCUGGUCUCCUCGCCCUCUGUCAGCUCAGCCUGCCGGAACGACGCACCAGAGGCCAGGGGUUUAACGGACAGAAGUCUGCUCUCACAGUCUUGAAGCUUCGGCAGGGUUGGCUUCUUCUGAGGCCUGUCAUCUCCCGAAAAGCAGUGUCACAUGGUCUUCCUUCUGGACAUGUCUGUGUCCGAAUUUCCUCUUUGUAUAAGGACACCAGUCGUAUUAGGUUAGGGCUCACCCUGAUGACCUGACUUUAACGUCAGAGGCUACGUGAAGUCGUGAAGGAGCAGAUGUGUUUGAGUAGCAAAGGUCUGGCCUGAAAGGCAGCUCCUGCACACGGCACGGCAUUGUGGCGGACAGGCCCCUUUCUCUCUCCCAUCCUUUCGUGUCCGUAAUUGUAAAAUGGAAUGGAAGCCUCAAACAUUUUGUUAUGAGGGAUUGAUUAAGUUACAUUAAAUGAG